RNAcentral lists this ribosomal RNA (401 nucleotides) under Eudiaptomus graciloides. Its description in RNAcentral is "partial small subunit ribosomal RNA". It matches the Rfam family "Eukaryotic small subunit ribosomal RNA", at positions 30 to 432 of the family's 1831-position model. Lineage: Eukaryota; Metazoa; Arthropoda; Copepoda; Calanoida; Diaptomidae. The record is from RNAcentral.
GCUUGUCUCAAAGAUUAAGCCAUGCAUGUCUAAGUACAAGCCUCAGUAAGGUGAAACCGCGAAUGGCUCAUUAAAUCACACCUAAUCUACUGGAAAGUUACUAGUUACUUGGAUAACUGAGGUAAUUCUUGAGCUAAUACAUGCGAAAAAUCUCGACUCACGGAGAGAUGCUUUUAUUAGAUCAAAACCAAACGGCUUCGGUCGUUCCUCUGGUGAUUCUGAAUAACUUUGGGCUGAUCGCACGGCUUUACGCCGGCGACGUAUCCUUCUAAGGUGUGCCCUAUCAACUGUCGACUGUGGCAUAGACGCCCACAGUGGUUUUGACGGGUAACGGGGAAUCAGGGUUCGAUUCCGGAGAGGGAGCCUGAGAGACGGCUACCACUUCUAAGGAAGGCAGCAGG